GCAUUGGUGGUUCAGUGGUAGAAUUUCUCGCCUGCCACGCGCGGGAGGCCCGGGUUCGAUUCCCGGCCAAUGCA
This 74-nucleotide transfer RNA is filed under the name Pangasianodon hypophthalmus (striped catfish). It matches the Rfam family "tRNA". Rfam says of the family: Transfer RNA (tRNA) molecules are approximately 80 nucleotides in length. The record is from Rfam by way of RNAcentral. Lineage: Eukaryota; Metazoa; Chordata; Actinopteri; Siluriformes; Pangasiidae.